This 497-nucleotide ribosomal RNA is filed under the name uncultured bacterium. RNAcentral's name for it is "partial 16S ribosomal RNA". It matches the Rfam family "Bacterial small subunit ribosomal RNA", at positions 28 to 507 of the family's 1533-position model. The record is from RNAcentral.
GAUGAACGCUGGCGGCGUGCCUAAUACAUGCAAGUCGAGCGAACGGACCAGAAGCUUGCUUCUCUGAUGUUAGCGGCGGACGGGUGAGUAACAUGUGGAUAACCUACCUAUAAGACUGGGAUAACUUCGGGAAACCGGAGCUAAUACCGGAUAAUAUUUUGAACCGCAUGGUUCAAAAGUGAAAGACGGUCUUGCUGUCACUUAUAGAUGGAUCCGCGCUGCAUUAGCUAGUUGGUAGGGUAACGGCUUACCAAGGCAACGAGGCAUAGCCGACCUGAGAGGGUGAUCGGCCAGCCGGGAACUGAGACACGUCCCAGACUCCGGCGGGAGGAAGCAGUAGGGAAUCUUCCGCGAUGGACGAGAGCCGAACAGUGCACCGCCGCGUGAGUGAUGAUGGUCUUCGGAUCGGAAAGCUCUGAUAUUAGGGAAGAACAUAUGUGUAAGUACCUGUGCACAUCUUGACGGUACCUAAUCAGAAAGCCACGGCUAACUACGUG